This 455-nucleotide ribosomal RNA is filed under the name uncultured bacterium. Its description in RNAcentral is "bacterial SSU rRNA". It matches the Rfam family "Bacterial small subunit ribosomal RNA", at positions 28 to 522 of the family's 1533-position model. The record is from RNAcentral.
GAUGAACGCUAGCGGCAGGCCUAAUACAUGCAAGUCGAGGGGCAGCAUAGUAGCAAUACUGAUGGCGACCGGGUGAGUAACACGUGACUAACCUACCCUCGAGUGGGGGAUAACUCCGGGAAACCGGAGCUAAUACCGCAUAACAUCGCAGGAUCAAAGCAGAAAUGCGCUUGAGGAGGGGGUCGCGGCUGAUUAGCUAGUUGGUAGGGUAAUGGCCUACCAAGGCNGAGAUCGGUAGCCGGCCUGAGAGGGCGCACGGCCACACUGGAACUGAAACACGGUCCAGACUCCUACGGGAGGCAGCAGUGGGGAAUUUUGCGCAAUGGGGGAAACCCUGACGCAGCAACGCCGCGUGGAGGAUGAAGUCCUUUGGGACGUAACUCCUUUCGACCGGGACGAUAAUGACGGUACCGGUGGAAGAAGCACCGGCUAACUCUGUGCCAGCAGCCGCAAGU